AAAAAAGGAUAUUAUACCUUGCUCCAGAUUGUGAAAAGUAAAAGUAAGUAAACAGAAAAGAGAAGGAAGUAUGAUUUAAUUUAGAAAAAUGCUUUGUGUUAUAGCAGACCUUAAGUGUUCAUUGAGUGGUCCAAGUUGUUAAGUAGGCUAGGAGAAGUCAGAAUCCCCAGUGUGCUUUGGAUCUUCUGAGGAUUUUGUAAUUAUUAAGAUCAUCUUUUUUAAGAUUAAGAUUUAUUUAUAUUGUUUGUUACAUUAAAAUACCCAGCUAACUCUCCUGUCCCAUUAAAAAGCCAUCAUCUGACAAAAUAAGAUCCCAAUGGAUACCUGACCUAGGCAUAAAGGGAGAUAUCAUUAACAAGUAAGAACAGGAAACAUUACCUCUCGGAUUUAUGAACAGAGAGGAAUUUAUAAAUAAACAAGAGACAGGAAGCACUGUGAGAUGUAAAAUGGAUAAUUUUGAAUACAGUAAAUUUAAAAGGUUUUGUACAAAUAAAACCAAGGUCAUAGUGGAUUUUUGAGAGUUUGUCCUACACACUUCUUUAUAUAUUGGGAUUAGAGAUCAAGCAGGUAAAAGGAAGUGAAAAUAAUUUUUUUUAGGAAAAUUCGAAUUUCCUUAAAAUAAGCAAAGAAAAGGAAACAGGAGUAAGGGAAUUCAAAGCUAUACCUUCUCCCCACACCAUACCUCAUUCGUCACCCUCAGGCAACUAAGAGUAGGGACAAUGUUCUUUGGGUGGUUUCAAAGGAAAUACAAAUUAUUAUCAUUGUUAUUAUAGGUAAAUGAAUGAAAAGGGGUCACUGGAUUGGAAUUACAUUUGGGAAGAUUCCAAGUCUAGCUGCAGCAUUUUUGUCAAUGCAUUUGGCUGCCUGUGAUUCUUGCCUGGAAUUGACAUCAGAUUCAGAAUUUCAGCAGAAAAUGAUAUCUACCAAUGAGCUGGACCAGGAAGCAGAGCUGCAAGAGAAAAUGUUCUCAGAUCAACCUAUUGAAGAUAGGAGAUAGCAAUUGGAGAUUUCCUCAGCAAUCAAGAUACCCAGAUGAAAUAUCUAAAUUCUGAUAUAGUGGCUUGAUGACCUGAUCAAAGGAAAUGUGUUUCACUUCUUCUGCAUGCAUCUUGUUUUUUUUUUAAUUUAUUUAUUUAUUUUUUUUGUUAGGUCCAAUCGACUAAAUGGACUGCCCUCAAUGAUUAUAGUCAGUGUUUGAAAUGGUCAAUAAAAUUGUGUGUGAUUAUCA
Molecule: long non-coding RNA, 1228 nt
Filed under: Monodelphis domestica (gray short-tailed opossum)
Lineage: Eukaryota; Metazoa; Chordata; Mammalia; Didelphimorphia; Didelphidae
Description: lncRNA (ENSMODG00000033448.2)
Source: RNAcentral